Molecule: unclassified non-coding RNA, 328 nt
Filed under: soil metagenome
Description: partial contains 5.8S ribosomal RNA, internal transcribed spacer 2, and large subunit ribosomal RNA
Rfam family: 5.8S ribosomal RNA (bases 1-120)
Source: RNAcentral
GAUGAAGAAUGUAGCGAAAUGCGAUAAGUAAUGUGAAUUGCAGAAUUCAGUGAAUCAUCGAAUCUUUGAACGCACAUUGCGCCCCUUGGUAUUCCGAGGGGCAUGCCUGUUCGAGCGUCAUUAUAACCCUCAAGCUCAGCUUGGUGUUGGGGCCUGCUGCACUGGCAGCCCUUAAAAUCAGUGGCGGCGCCAUCUGGCUCUAAGCGUAGUAAUUCUUCUCGCUAUGGAGUCCUGGUGGAUGCUUGCCAUCAACCCCCAAUUUUUCUAUGGUUGACCUCGGAUCAGGUAGGGAUACCCGCUGAACUUAAGCAUAUCAAUAAGCGGAGGA